GGAGGGAUGGCCGAGUGGUUGAUGGCGGCGGUCUUGAAAACCGCUGUACCCGAAAGGGUAUCGGGGGUUCGAAUCCCUCUCCCUCCGCCA
RNAcentral lists this transfer RNA (90 nucleotides) under Vicinamibacteria bacterium. Its description in RNAcentral is "tRNA-Ser". It matches the Rfam family "tRNA". Rfam says of the family: Transfer RNA (tRNA) molecules are approximately 80 nucleotides in length. RNAcentral also lists the same sequence under 2 other names. The record is from RNAcentral. Lineage: Bacteria; Pseudomonadati; Acidobacteriota; Vicinamibacteria.